Molecule: long non-coding RNA, 1048 nt
Filed under: Malus domestica (apple)
Lineage: Eukaryota; Viridiplantae; Streptophyta; Magnoliopsida; Rosales; Rosaceae
Description: long non-coding RNA (MDOM_LNC020489)
Source: RNAcentral
CAUGUAAUUACAACUAGAACCCAAAAAUUUCAACAAAUGCAAAAACUUCAUUAAAGGAGCAAAACAAUUUAUCCUUUAGCGUUUUUGGACCUAAACAUAAAAACGUAAACUUUUGAGCCAAAGUGCAAAUACACAAAAGUAUCAAAACUUUAUGUAAUUGCAUAAAAGCCCAAAAAGUACUCCCAUUGAGGGAGUGGCCGGUUUUGGAGAGGUGAAAGGAGUGAUGUGUGUGUUGAUUGGUAAGUUUGACAUAAAGCAUGCAAGUGGUGCAAGUGGUGUGUGUGAAAGAGAAUUAAUCCUUACACACACACCAAUAAUUCCUUCACCUUUCUAAACAAAUAUCUAAUACAUUUAAACAUAUGAAAAACAUAAAACAUAAACUUUAUGAAAUAAAUCAAAACUUUGAAUCAAAACACCAAACUUUUUGUUCUUGGCAAAAAUGUCAAGAACAAUGAAGAACACUCAUGAAAAACAUCCCAAAACCAUUCAAACUUAAGGGAAAUAACAUAUAACCAAACUAGGGUACAGAGGGGUUCCAAAAGUCACUUGAAAACAUUUUUAACAAGACAAACAUGAACCCAAAAAUCCACCCUUUAGAUUUGGCCGAAUUUUCCCAAAAACAUGGCACCAAAUUUUAGCUCCAAUAUUCAUGCUUAUAUGAACUACAUCUACAACAUUUGAGAUGGCAAAUUUUCUAACAAAAUUUACAUUCAAAGAAACAAGAAUAAAGCUUGUAACAUAUUACAACUUUUAAAUCAAAGACUAUGAACUACAAAACCCAAAAGGAUUCACCAACUACUAGACCUAGGCUCUGAUACCACUUGAAGGAAAUUUUGUGAAAAACAUGUUCAUUUGAGCAACAUCUAUAGCAUGCAAUUAACAAAUUUAAAGGCGGAAUCAUGCUUGUAUGCACGAAAAAACAAAACAUUACCCAUGAAAUUCAAAGCCUAGUAGCUUGGUGAACCUUGACUCAACGUAAAACAACAUUUGUUAGUUGAGAAAUUAUACCUUUGUAGAUUCCUCUUUGCAUAAGCAAAGGCUAAUCACC